Molecule: ribosomal RNA, 484 nt
Filed under: uncultured bacterium
Lineage: Bacteria
Description: partial 16S ribosomal RNA
Rfam family: Bacterial small subunit ribosomal RNA
Source: RNAcentral
AUUGUACGCUGGCGGCAGGCCUAACACAUGCAAGUCGAGCGGAUGAAGGGAGCUUGCUCCUGGAUUCAGCGGCGGACGGGUGAGUAAUGCCUAGGAAUCUGCCUGGUAGUGGGGGAUAACGUCCGGAAACGGGCGCUAAUACCGCAUACGUCCUGAGGGAGAAAGUGGGGGAUCUUCGGACCUCACGCUAUCAGAUGAGCCUAGGUCGGAUUAGCUAGUUGGUGGGGUAAAGGCCUACCAAGGCGACGAUCCGUAACUAGUCUGAGAGGAUGAUCAGUCACACUGGAACUGAGACACGGUCCAGACUCCUACGGGAGGCAGCAGUGGGGAAUAUUGGACAAUGGGCGAAAGCCUGAUCCAGCCAUGCCGCGUGUGUGAAGAAGGUCUUCGGAUUGUAAAGCACUUUAAGUUGGGAGGAAGGGCAGUAAGUUAAUACCUUGCUGUUUUGACGUUACCAACAGAAUAAGCACCGGCUAACUUCGCG